This 91-nucleotide transfer RNA is filed under the name bacterium. Its description in RNAcentral is "tRNA-Ser". It matches the Rfam family "tRNA". From Rfam's summary of the family: Transfer RNA (tRNA) molecules are approximately 80 nucleotides in length. Their secondary structure includes four short double-helical elements and three loops (D, anti-codon, and T loops). RNAcentral also lists the same sequence under 1 other name. The record is from RNAcentral.
GGAGAGAUGCGAGAGCGGUUGAAUCGGCGCGACUGGAAAUCGCGUGUGGCCCAAAAGGCUACCGAGGGUUCGAAUCCCUCUCUCUCCGCCA